This 253-nucleotide ribosomal RNA is filed under the name uncultured bacterium. RNAcentral describes it as "partial 16S ribosomal RNA". It matches the Rfam family "Bacterial small subunit ribosomal RNA", at positions 524 to 776 of the family's 1533-position model. The record is from RNAcentral.
UACGGGGGGAGCAAGCGUUGUUCGGAUUUACUGGGCGUAAAGGGCGCGUAGGCGGCGUGACAAGUCACUUGUGAAAUCUCCGGGCUUAACCCGGAGCGGUCAAGUGAUACUGUCGUGCUAGAGUGCGGAAGGGGCUACUGGAAUUCUCGGUGUAGCGGUGAAAUGCGUAGAUAUCAGGAAGAACAUCGGUGGCGAAGGCGCUCUGCUGGACCAUAACUGACACUCAGGGACGAAAGCUAGGGGAGCGAAUGGG